CAUAGACCUACACACACACCACACACACAUCUACACCCACCACACACACCUCCACACACACCUACACUCAUACACCUACACAGACACCCCUACACACACACCACACCUACACACUCAUGCACCUACACACACCCCUACACACACCACACACACACCUACACACUCAUACACCUACACACCCCCACACCACACACACAUCUACACCCACCACACACACCUCCACACACCACACCUCCACUCAUACACCUACACACAGCCCUACACACACCACACCUACACACCCAUACACCACACACACCCACACACACCACACACACACAUCUACACCCACCACACACACCUCCACACACCACACCUACACACACCACACCUCCACUCAUACGCCUACACACACACCCCUACACACACCACACACACACCUCCACUCAUAAACCUACACACACAGCCCUACACACACCACACACACAUAUCUACACCCACCACACACACCUACACACACACAUUCAUACACCUACACACACCCCUACACACACACCACACCUACACUCAUACACCUACACACACCCCUACACACACCACACACACAUCUACACCCACACCUACACACACCACACCUAUACUCAUACACCUACACACACCCUUACACACACCACACCUACACACUCACCCCUACACCUACACAUACACACCUACACACACCACACACCUACACCUACCCACACCUACACCUACACAUACACACCUACACUCAUACACCUACACACACACCUACACUCAUACACCUACAUACACACCCUUACACACCUACACACACCCCUACACACACACGCCUCCC
This 835-nucleotide long non-coding RNA is filed under the name Homo sapiens (human). RNAcentral describes it as "non-protein coding lnc-HMOX1-2:3". The record is from RNAcentral. Lineage: Eukaryota; Metazoa; Chordata; Mammalia; Primates; Hominidae.